This is a long non-coding RNA of Eriocheir sinensis (Chinese mitten crab), 235 nucleotides long. RefSeq lists it as uncharacterized. The record is from RefSeq and is a predicted model, not a curated record. Lineage: Eukaryota; Metazoa; Arthropoda; Malacostraca; Decapoda; Varunidae. The transcript is spliced from 3 exons.
CACACCCAUGGCUCAGACAAGUGUGAACAGAGACAGCUGAGAAUGCUAACGGUCACGCUUGCCAAGAUGCUCUGCGAUAACUGUGAUAAUGUGGAGAGUGAGCAGCGGUCCGUCUUUGACCUUCCUGACCCCUUCCUGAACCCUCGUGUGUCCCACCUUGACCUGCCGGGGAUCAACCCGGAGCUGUGGAAGGCGCGUGUCAUGUGGGGUCAGCAAGACUGAUAUUGACAUCAGG